This 496-nucleotide ribosomal RNA is filed under the name uncultured bacterium. RNAcentral's name for it is "partial 16S ribosomal RNA". It matches the Rfam family "Bacterial small subunit ribosomal RNA", at positions 29 to 507 of the family's 1533-position model. The record is from RNAcentral.
AUGAACGCUGGCGGCGUGCCUAAUACAUGCAAGUCGAGCGAACAGACGAGGAGCUUGCUCCUCUGACGUUAGCGGCGGACGGGUGAGUAACACGUGGAUAACCUACCUAUAAGACUGGGAUAACUUCGGGAAACCGGAGCUAAUACCGGAUAAUAUAUUGAACCGCAUGGUUCAAUAGUGAAAGACGGUUUUGCUGUCACUUAUAGAUGGAUCCGCGCCGCAUCAGCUAGUUGGUAAGGUAACGGCUUACCAAGGCAACGAUGCGUAGCCGACCUGAGAGGGUGAUCGGCCACACUGGAACUGAGACACGGUCCAGACUCCUACGGGAGGCAGCAGUAGGGAAUCUUCCGCGAUGGGCGAAAGCCUGACGGAGCAACGCCGCGUGAGUGAUGAAGGUCUUCGGAUCGUAAAACUCUGUUAUUAGGGAAGAACAAAUGUGUAAGUAACUAUGCACGUCUUGACGGUACCUAAUCAGAAAGCCACGGCUAACUACGUG